UCAGGAUGAACGCUAGCGGCAGGCUAACACAUGCAAGUCGAGGGGCGAGCGCUGAGUAGCAAUACUCUGGCGGCGACCGGCGAAAGGGUGAGUAACGCGUGAGCAACAUGCCCGGUAGUGGAGGAUAGUCGAUGGAAACGUCGCGUAAUACUCCGUAACAUACGGGACCGCAUGAUUCUGUAUUAAUAGAUUUAUUGCUAUCGGAUUGGCUCGCGUACCAUUAGCUAGUUGGCGGGGUAACGGCCCACCAAGGCGACGAUGGUUAGGGGUUCUGAGAGGAAGGUCCCCCACAUUGGAACUGAGACACGGUCCAGACUCCUACGGGAGGCAGCAGUGAGGAAUAUUGGACAAUGGCCGGAAGGCUGAUCCGGCCAUGCCGCGUGCGGGAAGACGGCCCUAUGGGUUGUAAACCGCUUUUGUUGGGGAGCAAUAAGGGUCACGUGUGGCCUGAUGAGAGUACCCAGCGAAUAAGCAUCGGCUAACUCCGUGCCAGCCGCGGC
RNAcentral lists this ribosomal RNA (500 nucleotides) under uncultured bacterium. Its description in RNAcentral is "bacterial SSU rRNA". It matches the Rfam family "Bacterial small subunit ribosomal RNA", at positions 24 to 518 of the family's 1533-position model. The record is from RNAcentral.